RNAcentral lists this unclassified non-coding RNA (438 nucleotides) under Moritella viscosa. RNAcentral describes it as "putative sRNA". Lineage: Bacteria; Pseudomonadati; Pseudomonadota; Gammaproteobacteria; Alteromonadales; Moritellaceae. The record is from RNAcentral.
CGGCUACGACCACAAACGGCAACAAUCUCGUUGUCAAUCAUCACCUCGGUACUACCAUCCGCAGAAUAUUUAACGUUUAACCGCGCCAAAAGAUCCUUUAACUUAGCCGCAUCUAAACGGCGCAGUUCCGUUUUUAUUGUAUUCAAUAAAUUUUCCAUUUCAUACGUCCAAUUUGAGUUUAUAUUAGUAUUAAUUGUGUUUUAGAAUGUAAACAGUCAAUUCUUGACGGUAAUUUUGAUGUCUUGCUUUUACUGAUAUCACCGUGGCUAUCAUCACUCAUAAUAUAAUUACCACUUGGUUUCGAUAAUUUAUCAACACAGCCCAAAUUGGAUAACGGUCUUACUUUGCAAUUAUCGUCACGCUCUAAGAUUAGAACAGGAAAGAUAGUAUCAGGGAAUAUAGUCAGGCUUACUCCACCAACUUUGUUUCUACAUUUCG